This 490-nucleotide ribosomal RNA is filed under the name uncultured bacterium. RNAcentral's name for it is "bacterial SSU rRNA". It matches the Rfam family "Bacterial small subunit ribosomal RNA", at positions 501 to 992 of the family's 1533-position model. The record is from RNAcentral.
CUACGUGCCAGCAGCCGCGGUAAUACGGAGGGUGCGAGCGUUAAUCGGAAUAACUGGGCGUAAAGGGCACGCAGGCGGUGACUUAAGUGAGGUGUGAAAGCCCCGGGCUUAACCUGGGAAUUGCAUUUCAUACUGGGUCGCUAGAGUACUUUAGGGAGGGGUAGAAUUCCACGUGUAGCGGUGAAAUGCGUAGAGAUGUGGAGGAAUACCGAAGGCGAAGGCAGCCCCUUGGGAAUGUACUGACGCUCAUGUGCGAAAGCGUGGGGAGCAAACAGGAUUAGAUACCCUGGUAGUCCACGCUGUAAACGAUGUCGAUUUGGGGGUUGAGCUUUAAGCUUGGCGCCCGUAGCUAACGUGAUAAAUCGACCGCCUGGGGAGUACGGCCGCAAGGUUAAAACUCAAAUGAAUUGACGGGGGCCCGCACAAGCGGUGGAGCAUGUGGUUUAAUUCGAUGCAACGCGAAGAACCUUACCUACUCUUGACAUCCAGA